Molecule: ribosomal RNA, 550 nt
Filed under: Bifidobacterium pseudolongum subsp. globosum
Lineage: Bacteria; Bacillati; Actinomycetota; Actinomycetes; Bifidobacteriales; Bifidobacteriaceae
Description: bacterial SSU rRNA
Rfam family: Bacterial small subunit ribosomal RNA
Source: RNAcentral
GGUAAUGCCGGAUGUUCCACAUGAGCGCAUGCGAGUGUGGGAAAGGCUUUUUGCGGCAUGGGAUGGGGUCGCGUCCUAUCAGCUUGUUGGUGGGGUAACGGCCUACCAAGGCGUUGACGGGUAGCCGGCCUGAGAGGGCGACCGGCCACAUUGGGACUGAGAUACGGCCCAGACUCCUACGGGAGGCAGCAGUGGGGAAUAUUGCACAAUGGGCGCAAGCCUGAUGCAGCGACGCCGCGUGCGGGAUGGAGGCCUUCGGGUUGUAAACCGCUUUUGUUCAAGGGCAAGGCACGGUCUUUGGCCGUGUUGAGUGGAUUGUUCGAAUAAGCACCGGCUAACUACGUGCCAGCAGCCGCGGUAAUACGUAGGGUGCAAGCGUUAUCCGGAUUUAUUGGGCGUAAAGGGCUCGUAGGCGGUUCGUCGCGUCCGGUGUGAAAGUCCAUCGCUUAACGGUGGAUCCGCGCCGGGUACGGGCGGGCUUGAGUGCGGUAGGGGAGACUGGAAUUCCCGGUGUAACGGUGGAAUGUGUAGAUAUCGGAAAAGAACACCA